RNAcentral lists this non-coding RNA (24 nucleotides) under Rattus norvegicus (Norway rat). Lineage: Eukaryota; Metazoa; Chordata; Mammalia; Rodentia; Muridae. The record is from RNAcentral.
GAGUUAAGAGUUCUCAAGGUGGCU